Molecule: long non-coding RNA, 1123 nt
Organism: Capra hircus (goat)
Lineage: Eukaryota; Metazoa; Chordata; Mammalia; Artiodactyla; Bovidae
Exons: 5
Source: RefSeq, a predicted model, not a curated record
AUGCCAGAAUCUGUGCAGAUGCCAGAAAACUGUCCGUAUCAGUUUUUUGAGGUGGCAGAAAAAGCUGGAGAGGUACCACCGUUUCGAGGGAAUAAGGUCAGAAUUUACCGGCAGAACCCUUCGCUCUGCGAAGAAAUACGGCGGGACUGUAGGACUCUGGGGCCCGGCUUUCGAAAAGGAGGGAAGAGCUUCUCUCGGCUGGCUGCCUGGCCGCCCGACCCUCUGCGCUUUCCAGGCUACUCACCGGUCCGGGGUGGAAAGCGCCAUCCAGGCGCGCGUGAGGGCUGCGCGGCGCAGGCGGCGGGCAGGGCCGAGCGGUGGCAGCGGCGCUGUCCUAGGAGCGAGACUGGAGCCGGGGGACGCCGAGGCGGCGACAGCGGCGGCGGGGGCGCGGGGAGCUGCGGGCGGGGAGGGCGGCGGAUCCGGAGCUGCUGCGCCGCGCGCGCUCUCUGCCCAUCUCCGGGUCUCUCCCCCGCCACCCCCCCCCUCCUUCCCCCUUCGCGCCCUUUCCUUGGGCUCUUCCUCGCGCGGCUUGGGCUGGGGGUGGCCAGGCUCGGCCGCAGCCGGGUCUUCGGCGCCCUGGUGAGAGUGCUGAGGCCGGGAGGCGGCUGCGCCAGCUCCCGGCGCCGCCGGCCCGAGGCACCUGUGCGCGCCCGCACCGCCGGCAGCCCAAUUGCCGCGGCUCCCCGACUCGGAUCCGCCGGCGGUCGCCUUGCCUCGCUCUCCUUUCUGGUCAGAUUACGAUCAUGCCUGGGCGUCCAUGACAUCUGUGUACUCCUCUAUUGCUGUCUGCUUCCCCAGGCGCUCUUUGGCACAGGGUGUCCGGCCAGAAGGAGCCACCGGCGGGGAACUCGAUGCAGGCAACCGCCGUCAGCUCCUUGGAGCAGUUGCUUGCGCACGGGUGGUAGUGUUUGCCUCCUGGGUAGACCAGCUAAUGAGGCUCCAGAAACAGAGCAGAUGGCAUAUGGACAUGGUUCAAAGCAGCAGAGAUUACAGUUUAUAAGAAGGGACCAGGACCUGCUCUCCUUGAGGCAGGAAGAAGAAAUCACUGGGAUAAAAUAUGAGUCUUUGUAGUUGCAAGUCUUAUCCUUUGGGAUUGUACAAGCAAAAUUCACUGUGGAGG